AGAGCGAACGCUGGCGGCAGGCCUAACACAUGCAAGUCGAACGGACCCUUCGGGGUUAGUGGCGGACGGGUGAGUAACACGUGGGAACGUGCCUUUUGGUUCGGAAUAGCUCCUGGAAACGGGUGGUAAUGCCGAAUGUGCCCUUCGGGGGAAAGAUUUAUCGCCAUUAGAGCGGCCCGCGUCUGAUUAGCUAGUUGGUGAGGUAAAGGCUCACCGAGGCUACGAUCAGUAGCUGGUCUGAGAGGAUGACCAGCCACAUUGGGACUGAGACACGGCCCAAACUCCUACGGGAGGCAGCAGUGGGGAAUCUUGCGCAAUGGGCGAAAGCCUGACGCAGCCAUGCCGCGUGAAUGAUGGAAGGUCUUAGGAUUGUAAAAUUCUUCACCGGGUACGAUAAUGACGGUACCCGGAGAAGAAGCCCGGCUAACUUCGUGCCAGCAGCCGC
This 445-nucleotide ribosomal RNA is filed under the name uncultured soil bacterium. Its description in RNAcentral is "bacterial SSU rRNA". It matches the Rfam family "Bacterial small subunit ribosomal RNA", at positions 26 to 518 of the family's 1533-position model. The record is from RNAcentral.